This is a long non-coding RNA of Amphiprion ocellaris (clown anemonefish), 373 nucleotides long. The record is from Ensembl. Lineage: Eukaryota; Metazoa; Chordata; Actinopteri; Pomacentridae.
CAGCACUGAAGCUCUGACUGCAAUACAAUUAGUGUUUCUUUUGUGUGCCUGGCCUGAAGAAGACCAGCAAUUGGUCGAAACAUCGCGCUUUACAGGCUGGACGCCAAUCUUCUCGGUGGGGGGAGAAGGGAAAAGCGGCGGGAGGUCAUCGGUCGAUCCCCGGCCAUGGCGAAAGUGCGAAACGGCCGGUUCGGCGGCUCGGACGCAGCGGGACGAACGAAACGGCGAAAACGAAGCACGUCAACGGGAGACCUCAUGUUCCAGCUGAUAGAUCCUGAUGAUCAGGUUGACCUCUGACCUCUGUGUUAAUGUGUUUUACUGAGCCGCUGAAGUUCAGAUGUCCUCAGUGUGAUGGAAAUAAACAACAGGAAGA